UACGUAGGGUGCGAGCGUUGUCCGGAAUUAUUGGGCGUAAAGGGCUCGUAGGCGGUUUGUCACGUCAGGAGUGAAAACUCGGGGCUCAACCCCGAGCCUGCUUCUGAUACGGGCAGACUAGAGGUAUGCAGGGGAGAACGGAAUUCCUGGUGUAGCGGUGAAAUGCGCAGAUAUCAGGAGGAACACCGGUGGCGAAGGCGGUUCUCUGGGCAUUACCUGACGCUGAGGCGCGAAGGCGUGGGGAGCGAACGGG
RNAcentral lists this ribosomal RNA (253 nucleotides) under uncultured bacterium. RNAcentral describes it as "partial 16S ribosomal RNA". It matches the Rfam family "Bacterial small subunit ribosomal RNA", at positions 524 to 776 of the family's 1533-position model. The record is from RNAcentral.